CCCAGGGCUCGGCCAGGGGAAGCGGCACUAGUGACCAAGGUCCCAGCUGGUGGGUCCUUCUAGACGUGUCCCCCAGAAACCCUCCCCAGGCCCCAGGCUGAGCCAGCGGCCUGCGUCACACCCCAGGGUCUGCAGAGAAAAGGGUCUGCCACGUGGCCACGUCCACAGGCCCCAGGCAGAAUUUAAGGAGCAACACAAAAUGGACUUAGUCCCACUUCACAGGGAGGAAAACUGAGGCUGCCAAGAUCUCAUGACGACCCGAGGUUGCCCUGCAGAGUUGCCCAGGUGGAGUCUGAAUGAGCACCGUUGGGUUUCGCUCUUGCCUCUGUUGGUGGUCUUCUCGUUUCUGCUAAACCAGAUGGGAGGCAGAGGCUGAAGAGGCUGCCCCAGGUGUGAUAAGACUCUGGCCCUGAGCCAGCCCAGCCCCUGGAUCUCAGGCCCAGGAUAAUCCCAGCCCAGGGUGCCUGGACCCAGCUGGUUCCCAGCC
Molecule: long non-coding RNA, 487 nt
Filed under: Marmota marmota marmota (Alpine marmot)
Lineage: Eukaryota; Metazoa; Chordata; Mammalia; Rodentia; Sciuridae
Description: lncRNA (ENSMMMG00000007679.1)
Source: RNAcentral